UGCCGUCGCCGCGGCCGCCGUGGCGUCAGCGCAGUAGGUAUACCCCUCUCUACCUAUACACAUGCGCGAGCGGCGGCGGCGGCGGCGGCGGCGGCGCAGCGAGAUGGCGGCGGACGAGCCACCGCCCCCGUGCAUCAGUUAUAGUGCGCGUAUACCUUAUACUCGCCCUACUCCUUUCGCGCACCUACUCGCUCUCUAUCUCUCUCCCCACUCCGCGCUUCCGCCCCCACCUUCCGGAGAAUCGACGUGUGUUUUCGAAGUAGGGGCACGGCGUGUAGAGCCGAGCUCUGCGUUUUAUGUGUUUACGUGCGCGCGCGAGCGCGCGCCCCCACGUGAGAAUCGCCCGAGAGAGGAGAAGAUAUGCCAGACACAUGGUGCUCUGCCUUGAGAGAGUUUUGGGAACGCCGCGUGGAUUCUUUAAAUGAUGCUGAGCUUCUUCUUCUUCUUCUUCUUUUUUCGGUGCGCAGAGAGAGAGCUGCAAUGCGCCGCACCUUCGGAAAGGGGAGUAGUAGUUCGAGGUGCAGAGACGACGGCUAUCUGGAAUCGACGAUUCGACGGAGUGAUGAAGAGUGGAGACGACUGAAAAAAAUAAAUGAAAGACUGAUUUGUUGAUAUUAAUAUAUUUUUAACGAGUAAAUAUUUCGUACUUGUUGUUAUAAGCAUUUCGAAUAAAGAAUAUACCUCACAAUUGACUCACGUGCCUCCUUUUUGUUACAUGAAUUUUAAUUGAUUGCGAACUGGAAAUUUCCUACGAGGAGCUCGCAUCACGAAUCGUUUCCAGGCUCUGAAACAAACAGACCGUACCGUUAUAUAGGUGCACGAGGUUACGACAUACCUAUAGCUUUAUAAGACUUUUUCUGAAAUUGCGUACUUUGUGCGUUGCAUAAAAACUACCGCAGUCUUAAAUUUAGGGAAGAUAGGUAUCAGUUAACACGGAAUUUGUUCAGCAAACUUGCAAUUUUAUUGAUUUUUUUUACCUUUUCAUUUUAUAACGUGAGAACAAAUUAUAAAAUAUGUGAUUUUACAAUUCAAAUUAAAAACUUCAUAGGCUUACUCAAUCAAUAAUACUAACAUUAGAUUACUCAUACCCACGACCCUGUGUGUUACAUGGAUUUGAAAAGUGACUUGUUGCCGACUCUAUAUUUUCUUAUUUUUUGAUAUUCAAGAUGCAUAAAUCAUAAAGUUUUUAAAUACAAUUUUUUUUAAUAUUCACGUUAUACAAGGUGCGUAAUUCUGAUAGCAAAUGAAAUAUUUUGAUAUGGUGAAUGAAUCUGUGAUGAUUUAAAGUAACAUACUCAUUAUUUUUAUUGCAAUAUAUACAGAAUAUGCUAUUAAAUUGCGCAUCAUUCUGUGUGCUUUCUAUGCAUAUAGUUAAGUGUUAUACCAAUAUUAAGUCUAAGAUUAAUCAGAGUUUAUAUACGUUAGUUAUAAAUUUAACUUAGAAGCUCUUGCCGAGUAUCACCUCUAAUAAAAAUAAUUUUUACUAUUUACAGGGACAUUUUACAACAACCUAAGGCAAGCUAUCAAACUCCCGCUUCACACAAUACUUAGCAUACAAAUACAAAUGAUAAAUAUCGUCAAUAAUAUGCAUUUGCAAAAAUCAAUAGAAAAGUUUUUUCGUCGUGUA
Nasonia vitripennis (jewel wasp) is the source of this 1627-nucleotide long non-coding RNA. RefSeq lists it as uncharacterized. The transcript is spliced from 2 exons. The record is from RefSeq and is a predicted model, not a curated record. Lineage: Eukaryota; Metazoa; Arthropoda; Insecta; Hymenoptera; Pteromalidae.